Molecule: long non-coding RNA, 484 nt
Filed under: Aotus nancymaae (Ma's night monkey)
Lineage: Eukaryota; Metazoa; Chordata; Mammalia; Primates; Aotidae
Description: lncRNA (ENSANAG00000038753.1)
Source: RNAcentral
GGAGCAGGCAUAGCUUCAAUGAAUAAGACACAGAAGCAGGAACCGCUCUCCUCCGUGAAAUAUAUCAGUGGAAUCAUAGCACACACAGGUACACACACAUGAGCACACACAAAGUGCACAAACACACACAUGCAUGCACAUGCGCACACACACACACACACACGCAAACAGAGGCACAUGUACAUUUCACUUUUCAGAAUUUGAUUAUGAUGUGUGCUUAAGAAGAAAUCAUGUUCUAAAUUCCUUUGCCUUCCUUCCUGUUGUAGGGAAACAACCCCAGGAAAAGGCACCCUAUGGCCAACCUUCAUCAACAAAAGAAAGAGAGCAAAGUUCAGAAGCCAACCCCUUGUCACCACUGUGGACAGGAACGUGGACCAGCCACCCUGUUUCCAGCCUGGGGGCGAGGCAUACAGUGGAAAGGACACGUAAGUGGGGCACCUUCCUUGGGGAAGAUUUCCAAAUCUCUGUAAAUGGAACUCUCUUU